CGUAUCCUACGGGAGGCAGCAGUAGGGAAUAUUGCUCAAUGGGGGAAACCCUGAAGCAGCAACGCCGCGUGGAGGAUGAAGGUUUUCGGAUUGUAAACUCCUUUUGUUAGAGAAGAUAAUGACGGUAUCUAACGAAUAAGCACCGGCUAACUCCGUGCCAGCAGCCGCGGUAAUACGGAGGGUGCAAGCGUUACUUGGAAUCACUGGGCGUAAAGAGUGCGUAGGCGGGGUAAUAAGUCAGAUGUGACAUCCUGUAGCUUAACUACAGAACUGCAUUUGAAACUGUUACUCUGGAGUGUGGGAGG
This 305-nucleotide ribosomal RNA is filed under the name uncultured bacterium. RNAcentral describes it as "bacterial SSU rRNA". It matches the Rfam family "Bacterial small subunit ribosomal RNA", at positions 333 to 655 of the family's 1533-position model. The record is from RNAcentral.